CGCUCGUGCGCGUUCUCCACCAAUCAAGAAGGCUUGAGAGGCCCUGCGGGUGUGACGUAAGUGGGCCGGGCUGAGCGAGCCGCCUGGCGGGGAGCACUUAGUCUCCGCCCGCGGGUUUGCGCCGGAGCUUCGGAAAGGCUGGUCAGGUCAGAGCCAAGGGGUUUGCUUCCAGAAGGCGGGGCCAGUAGGGUCUUUCUCACUUUUCAUGCACCAGAGCCUGGAGCUGAAUGCAGGGAGCCACCAAAGAGAAGCUGAUGUUAACAGUCAUUGUUCAGAGGCCUCAGUUUUCUGGGCAUCCCAGGACAUUACCAAAUGGAACCCCAACAACUCAUCCUCUGCCCUCAACACCCCUCCUCCUUCAGUAUUCUGAUCCUUCCUUCCAAAGACCUGCCUCCCUCACCACAUGUAGAUUCUUCCAAUAAAG
RNAcentral lists this long non-coding RNA (424 nucleotides) under Heterocephalus glaber (naked mole-rat). Its description in RNAcentral is "lncRNA (ENSHGLG00000047771.1)". Lineage: Eukaryota; Metazoa; Chordata; Mammalia; Rodentia; Bathyergidae. The record is from RNAcentral.